This 300-nucleotide ribosomal RNA is filed under the name uncultured Bacillus sp. Its description in RNAcentral is "bacterial SSU rRNA". It matches the Rfam family "Bacterial small subunit ribosomal RNA", at positions 496 to 795 of the family's 1533-position model. The record is from RNAcentral. Lineage: Bacteria; Bacillati; Bacillota; Bacilli; Caryophanales; Bacillaceae.
GCGGAAUUCGUGGCCAGAAGCGGCGGUAAAGUGUAGGGGGCAAGCGUUGGCCGGAAUUAGGGGGCGGAAAGAGCUCGUAGGCGGUCUGUUGCGUCCGCUGUGAAAACUCGGGCUUAACCCCGAGGCUGCAGUGGAUACGGGCAGACUAGAGGUAGGUAGGGGAGAAUGGAAUUCCCGGUGUAGCGGUGAAAUGCGCAGAUAUCGGGAGGAACACCGGUGGCGAAGGCGGUUCUCUGGGCCUUACCUGACGCUGAGGAGCGAAAGCGUGGGGAGCGAACAGAAUUAGAUACCCCAGUAGUC